AGUGAACGCUGGCGGUAGGCCUAACACAUGCAAGUCGAACGGCAGCACAGUAAGAGCUUGCUCUUACGGGUGGCGAGUGGCGGAUGGGUGAGGUAUACACCGGAAUCUACUUUUUCGUGGGGGAUAACGUAGGGAAACUUACGCUAAUACCGCAUAAGACCUACGUUUGAAAGCAGGCGAAUUUCUGACCUUGCGAGAUUGAAUGAGCCGAUGUCGGGUGAUUUAGUUGGCGGGGUAACGGCCCACCAAGGCGACGAAACGUAGCUGGUCUGAGAGGACGGGCAGACACACUAGAACUGAAACGCGGUCCAGACUACUACGGGAGGGAGCGGUGGGGAAUAGUAGACAAUGGGAGCAAGCCUGAUCCAGCCAUACCGCGUGGGUGAAAGAGACCUUCGGGUUGUAGAGCCAUUUUGUUGGGAAAGAAAAGCAGCAGGUUAAUACCGCGCUAAUCUGACGGUACCCAAAGAAUAAGCACCGGCUAACUUCGUG
RNAcentral lists this ribosomal RNA (492 nucleotides) under uncultured bacterium. Its description in RNAcentral is "partial 16S ribosomal RNA". It matches the Rfam family "Bacterial small subunit ribosomal RNA", at positions 29 to 507 of the family's 1533-position model. The record is from RNAcentral.